CGAAAAAAAAAAAAAAAAAAAAACCCUGGUGCGUAACGUUUGCAUUAUUAUUAAAUUUGUUUCAUUUAGGUUAGUUCAUAAAACAGAAGGCUCGGAAGAAAUGGUGUAUGAUUGCACUAGGACUUGUUUACCACGCGUUGUUGACCUCGUUGUCCGUUUCUAAUCGGUCAGUUCUGAUUUUCAGUCUAAUUUGGCGUUGCUUUAUUUUUAUAUCCUCGUGAAGAGGUGCCAGAACAUUAUCCCCCUCCAGAAUCCACCACUCCGGCUAUGCGGACUGCUCUAUGAAUGCAGGUUUGGGAUCUGUACUCAGAGUAUACCUUAUGUACCUUACUUUCCGUCAGUCCACAUAUAACAACAUCCCGAUGUUCGCCGUGUUCGCCAAGCUGCUGUUUCUUUGUAUUUCGCCUUCUCUACCGCAGAACUUAUGUGUUUAACGUUAUUCCGGGUGUCUGACAUGAUGGUUUAUGACACACUAUCACCACUGACUGCGCAGGCAUGCGUACUGUAUGUGAGCGCUUUCGAAAGAGUUUUUGUGUUUCCAGUUAUUUUCGCGAAUGCCGUCAGUGUGUUCUUUACGUAUCCAGAUGUACGGCGUCUCGGUCCAUGAGCUGGUUUCAACUUCUUGUACAAGAUCCUUCCAGGAUCUGGAUUACCUGAAGCUCACACUAGCGAGCCCCACCAACAGUGGAAUCAAGUGAUCAGUGCAGAUGAAACCCACAUACCACUGGCAAAAAACAAUAAAGCAACCUGUCUCAGCGACUACAGGACCAUUGCACCGACUCCAAUAGUGAUGAGGUGCUUCCAGAGAACCAUCAUGAGUCACAUCCAGACCGUCACACCGGACCCUCUGGACCCUCUCCAGUUCGCCUCCAGACCAAACAGAUCCACAGAGGAUGCCGUCAGCACAACGAUCCACACAUAGAAAACAAGGACAGCUAUGUUUGAAUGCUGUUUAUCGAUUGUAGCUCAGCAUUCAGCACGGUGAUACCAUCGAAGCUCACCAACAAGCUUUCCACCCUCGGUGUGCCAUCCACCCUUCGCAGCUGGGUUCUGGACUUUCUAACGGGUCGAUCCCAGGUUUCCGUCCCUCGCAGAAAUCCCUUCACUGGGUGAAAGCCUCAUCCCCGUGCUCCGGCAUUCCCCCGACGGGACCUCGGCCUCGGAAGCAGAGGAAGACCGUGGAUGGGAGCGUGUGGGUUUUUCGGAUUCAGAGUCGUCUUGGUAAUCCAGAGAGAGAAGCGAAGAGGAGCUGUGAAGCGAGAGGGACAUCUCCCCAGCUUCCGCGCGAAAAGACACGGCUCGGCUACAGCUCCGGACUCUUUGAUGCGCUCACUUCCCGCUGUUUAUUCCGCUGCGUUGUUGUACAUAUUGUUUAAGUGAAAAAAGAAAUCGCCUUCUCGAAUUCAACCUUAUUUCAAGAAACCCUGCUCCAAUAACCCUGGAGUUUGGGCGCUCCAGUUAUUUCAAAGCUCUUCUCCAUCAGCUCUUUAAUAACAUCGAAGCGCAAAGUUGCAGGUCAGUUUCAUGAUAAAUCCCGCAUAAGAGAGGAUUUUAUCAAUAUUAUAUAUAUAUUUUCCCCCUUGAGCUGCACAGUAAGAUACAGCGAUAGUGAUCAACAGAUGAACUUUGAGAUAGGUUGCUAGAAAUGAUUUAAACGCAUAGAGGAGGACAGGGAGGUGGAAAAAAAAGCUUCUUGCCGUCUUUGGAACUCGAGCGGGAAUCGUUCAGAUCUGCCGACUGAAAGGGGAAAAAAAAAAAAAAAAAUCAGCACAAUUGCGUAUAUAUGUGUAUUUAAAAAAAAACCCCGCCCGCACAAAUGAAUAAUAAUAAAUAAAUAAAUAAAAACAGAAACAAACGAAGGAAAAUAACACGGAUAUUUCAGAAGGAAAAACCAAGUGUAGAAUGUUCUCUGUGCCUGGAACGAAGAAACAGCGGCUAUAAAAAGUCUACACACCCCUGUUAAAAUGGCAGAUUUUUCUGAUGUGGACAAAUGGAAGCAACACGACUCAUAUCCGAACCAUUUCCGCUCUCCGUGCAUACUCACAACAAGUGAAAAACAAUCAGAGACAUUUUAGGAAACAUUUUAGGUCAAGUAACCUGGCUGCAUAAGUGCGCACACCCUUUUAUAACUGGGGGUGUGGCUGUGUUCAGAAUCGACCAAUCACAUUCGAUCUCACGUUCAAAAGUAAUCAUCAUGCAGCAGUCAACGCAUCAAUUAUUCGGAUUAACCCCAAGUAAAGACCAGCUGUUUCUGUAGGACCUUCUUCACAUCUUCUUGGUUUCAUCUGACCGCUGAAGCCAUGCUCUGCAAAGAGCUGACAAAUAACAUCCGGGAUCUCACUCGGCGCGUUUACGUGGACGACGAUAAUCCGAUACGAACCCGAUUAAGACGAUACUCUGAUUAAGAAACCGGCACGUAAACGGAGAUUAUCGAUGACCUUAAUCCGAUUAAAGUCUCACUCGAUGUGAACGCGAACGGAAUUAAGACGUGCCGGGUAUUCCCGUUUUAGUCGUGUCAUCGACGUGCGUUCCAGACACGUACACACCUUGAUCACUGUAUUAACGCCUUGUGGGAGUUUUCACCGCAUUGUGCGACAGGACACGUACUCACACGGCAGCGCUCGACCGGUUGACGGCGAACGAGAGAGCACGGCCGCGUCCCAAACCGCGUACUUACCUACUAUACGCCUGUAGUAGAUGAAAUCCAUGUAUCUCGGCUACUAUACAGUAGGCAAGUACACGGUUUGGGACGCAGCCCACGGCAGUCGUAUAUUUGCACGUACGGCACGACAAAUAAUUAACCGCACUGGAAGCUUUCGUAAAAUUUUUUAAUAAAAACACCCAGAACCGUAUACGGUCCCAUAACGAAGACCAACUGUAUGUCGAUACGUGAAAUUCUGGAGGGAACGUCGGGCGGCGUGGAGCGGGGACGUAACGACGUGCGCCGUUAAUCGAGCUACGUUCUAUAACACAUAAAACGGGAACAUUAAAGGAGUAUUCUAAAAGUGACUCAUGUAAACACCUUAAUCAGAAUAUCGUCUUAUUCAGAAUAAGGUCAAUAAUUAGGUUACCGCCGUCCGUGUAAACGUAAUCAGCGUCGAAAGGACGAGAUUAAAUCCCUGCCGGGAGACCUACAGUAACAUUAAAGGAGCUGCAGGAAUAUCCGGCAAGUAAAAAAAAAAAAAUCUAACUACGCCUAAAUCAACCUAAACUAUGUUGCCGAAAUCUGUUGUGGUCUGAUAAGACCAAUGUAGAACCCUUUGGGCAUAAUUCAAAAAACAAGACAGUUUAUCACCCAUAGAACACCAUAGCCAUGGUGAAGCAUGGUGGAGGCGGAAUAAUGUUACGAGGCUGCUUCUGUUUAGCUGGGACUGGGACUGGAGUCGUGAUACAGGGAAUCAUGGAGCGCUCCAAAUACUAAUCUAUUUAGGCACAAAACAUGCACACCUCUAUUACCUCAUGCAUACCUUUUAAGUUGGUAGACUCGUAUUACAAGCGAAGGUGCUUUAACAUCGUUAGUUAAGGGGUGUACAGACUUAUGCAACAGGGUUGUCGUACAUUUUUUUCUUCUUCUCAAACCGUUUUGCCCCCCCCCGCAGUCGUAACAAAGAUUUGUAAACUUUUUAUAUCCAGUGUAUGUACAGUAUACAACCCCGAUUCCAAAAAAGUUGGGACAGUAUGGAAAACGCAAAAAAAAACCCAAACAAUAAGAGUCCUUCGUAUAUUCCGAUUCCACUGUUCUACUGUCCAUCUCAGAUGAGACCGAGCCCAGAGAAGUGGGCGGAGCUUCUAGACAGUGUCGAUGCACGGCUUCUGCUUUACAUUCACAGGCGUUUUUUUUUUCUUCGGAGGCUCCUUAUAUACUACGAUGAGACGACCGCCUCACCUGUUUCGCAUCACCUUCUUAUUUCAACUUCUCACGUCACUAUCAGUCCUAAAUUGCCCCCGUCCCGACUUCCGUCAAACGUAUCGCAUGCGUUAAUUUCAAAAUAAACGUUUAUCUUAAAAACAACGCAGUGGUGAUUCGAUGAAACAUCCCAAAGCUCGUCUUUAUAUGUUAUACAGGUCAAAGUACAUUUACACAUCACUCCUCGUUGUUUUAAUUACUAUUUUCCAUACCGUCCCAACUUAUUUUGGAAUUGGGGUUGUAUACAUAUGUACAGUAUGUGUGCAUUUUUCUUUCUUGCACUGGUGUGUGUGUGUGUGUGUGUGUGUGUGUGUGUGUGUGUGUCUAUAAGUGUAUGUGCAUGUGACUUUCACAUACGGCACAUGAGUUUUCAUUUUCACCCAUGAUCACAUGAUCACAUGUACUUCACUUCAUGUGCAGUUUCAUAACAUGUCGAAAUGCACGUGAUCACGCGUUACUCACGCAGUCACGUGACAAGCAUGAUCACGUGUGCAUAGACAGGCUCCAAGUUUCAUGCAUCCUUGACUGAGGGGUUUGGAUGAAAUGCAGUGGUGCUUUCUGGCCAGAUGGAUAUGAAAUUUGACUUAAAAAUAAUAAAUGGUUACAGUGCUGAGUAGCA
Long non-coding RNA from Ictalurus punctatus (channel catfish), 4526 nucleotides. RefSeq lists it as uncharacterized. The record is from RefSeq and is a predicted model, not a curated record. The transcript has 3 exons. Lineage: Eukaryota; Metazoa; Chordata; Actinopteri; Siluriformes; Ictaluridae.